AUGAUGUGGUUUAAUUCGAUGCAACGCGAAAAACCUUACCACCUUUGACAUGUACGGAACUUACAGAGAUGGUUUGGUGCUCGAAAGAGAGCCGUAACACAGGUGCUGCAUGGCUGUCGUCAGCUCGUGUCGUGAGAUGUUGGGUUAAGUCCCGCAACGAGCGCAACCCUUGUCAUUAGUUGCUACAUUCAGUUGGGCACUCUAAUGAGACUGCCGGUGACAAGCCGGAGGAAGGUGGGGAUGACGUCAAGUCCUCAUGGCCCUUAUAGGUGGGGCUACACACGUCAUACAAUGGCUGGUACAAAGGGUUGCCAACCCGCGAGGGGGAGCCAAUCCCAUAAAGCCAGUCGUAGUCCGGAUCGUAGUCUGCAACUCGACUACGUGAAGUCGGAAUCGCUAGUAAUCGUGGAUCAGAAUGUCACGGUGAAUACGUUCCCGGGUCUU
This 444-nucleotide ribosomal RNA is filed under the name uncultured Rhodoferax sp. Its description in RNAcentral is "bacterial SSU rRNA". It matches the Rfam family "Bacterial small subunit ribosomal RNA", at positions 936 to 1382 of the family's 1533-position model. The record is from RNAcentral. Lineage: Bacteria; Pseudomonadati; Pseudomonadota; Betaproteobacteria; Burkholderiales; Comamonadaceae.